Molecule: unclassified non-coding RNA, 208 nt
Filed under: plant metagenome
Description: partial contains small subunit ribosomal RNA, internal transcribed spacer 1, and 5.8S ribosomal RNA
Source: RNAcentral
UUUCCGUAGGUGAACCUGCGGAAGGAUCAUUACAGAGUUCAUGCCCGAAAGGGUAGACCUCCCACCCUUGUGUAUUAUUACUUUGUUGCUUUGGCGAGCUGCCUCCGGGCCUUGUAUGCUCGCCAGAGAAUACCAAAACUCUUUUUAUUAAUGUCGUCUGAGUACUAUAUAAUAGUUAAAACUUUCAACAACGGAUCUCUUGGUUCUG